CCUGGCUCAGUGCUGUGGAAGAGUCUUGCUGGAGCACAGAGGCUGCAACCACCACAAGAGUUCCUACUUUUGGGACACAGGAGAGACUUUCCUGCCCACCCAGCUGCAGAAAAAUUCAGGAAAACAUCAAAGCAGUGCUUUCCCAUGAGCCCUCACAUCCUGCAGAGCCAAGGCAAUGGAAAGCAGCCAACUUUUUAAAUAAAGCAGAAGAACCAAAAUGUCUGUAGAAACUAUCACGAAAAUACUCUACUGGGCAUGAAUAAAACUCCAGUGUGGGGCCCUAAAUAAAAAUCUGUAAGCACAGAACUCCAAAUCCUCAAUUCUCACUUGUCAAUGGGGGAGAAAAAAAUAUCAGCCUAACGGUGACACAAUCUAGGCCUGUAAAUAACACCUACUCAGGUCCUGCUCCACUGGAACAAGGAACAAUACAGUCAUCUUCCAGUCUGUCCUGGGUAUGGGAAAGAGCAUAAUUGCUGAGAAAUGAAUUGCAAGUUGAAAGUCUCUAAUCUUUGCCUGCCAACCCACAUUCCUUCUUGCUCUAAGCAACUAUUGAGGAAAGGUAUUCAGGUACAGCAGCACAAUUAACUGCUUUACUUAACAUGCAAGUUUAUAAGUGAUCUCCACGAUACCACUGACAUGAAGAAAAUAACGGGGUUAAACUGGCUUUCAUUUUCAUUACAAGCUGAUCUUUGUGCAGACCUUGGUUGGUAGAACUGGCAGCAGACGUGUGUUGCAGAAUUAAAAUUAAAAGUUAUGAGAACCAUCGCUACAUAAUGGUGAGAUCAGACAAGAAUGGGAGAAUCCACACAAGUCUUUAAUCUCCAUCAAGACAAGAUAUUGUUUCUGCUUUGUUCUGUAGUUUAAAAUAAAUCCUUAAUGACUCUGUCAUCAUCUCA
Long non-coding RNA from Vidua chalybeata, 896 nucleotides. RefSeq lists it as uncharacterized. The record is from RefSeq and is a predicted model, not a curated record. Lineage: Eukaryota; Metazoa; Chordata; Aves; Passeriformes; Viduidae. The transcript has 6 exons.